RNAcentral lists this ribosomal RNA (200 nucleotides) under uncultured bacterium. RNAcentral describes it as "partial 16S ribosomal RNA". It matches the Rfam family "Bacterial small subunit ribosomal RNA", at positions 8 to 235 of the family's 1533-position model. The record is from RNAcentral.
AGAGUUUGAUCCUGGCUCAGGACGAACGCUGGCGGCAGCCUAACACAUGCAAGUCGAGCGGGCAUCGCAAGAUGUCAGCGGCAGACGGGAGAGUAACACGUGGGAACGUACCCUUCGGUUCGGAAUAACCCAGGGAAACUUGGACUAAUACCGGAUACGUCCGAAAGGAGAAAGAUUUAUCGCCGAGGGAUCGGCCCGCG